Molecule: ribosomal RNA, 106 nt
Filed under: Sarcocystis rileyi
Lineage: Eukaryota; Apicomplexa; Conoidasida; Eucoccidiorida; Sarcocystidae
Description: partial 18S ribosomal RNA
Rfam family: Eukaryotic small subunit ribosomal RNA
Source: RNAcentral
UUCCGUGUCGCGUUCCGUGUCCGGAAUGGGAAGUUUUGUGAACCUUAACACUUAGAGGAAGGAGAAGUCGUAACAAGGUUUCCGUAGGUGAACCUGCGGAAGGAUC